ACCAGACUCCUACGGGAGGCAGCAGUGGGGAAUAUUGCACAAUGGGGGAAACCCUGAUGCAGCGACGCCGCGUGAGUGAAGAAGUAUUUCGGUAUGUAAAGCUCUAUCAGCAGGAACGAGACAAGACGGUACCUGACUAAGAAGCCCCGGCUAACUACGUGCCAGCAGCCGCGGUAAUACGUAGGGGGCAAGCGUUAUCCGGAAUCACUGGGUGUAAAGGGAGCGUAGACGGCUGUGCAAGCCUGAAGUGAAAGGCGGGGGCCCAACCCCUGGACUGCUUUGGAAACUGUAGAACUGGAGUGCAGGAGAGGUAAGUGGAAUUCCUAGUGUAGCGGUGAAAUGCGUAGAUAUUAGGAGGAACACCAGUGGCGAAGGCGGCUUACUGGACUGUAACUGACGUCGAGGCUCGAAAGCGUGGGGAGCAAACAGGAUUAGAUACCCCAGUA
Molecule: ribosomal RNA, 446 nt
Filed under: uncultured bacterium
Lineage: Bacteria
Description: bacterial SSU rRNA
Rfam family: Bacterial small subunit ribosomal RNA
Source: RNAcentral